Molecule: long non-coding RNA, 257 nt
Filed under: Elaeis guineensis (African oil palm)
Lineage: Eukaryota; Viridiplantae; Streptophyta; Magnoliopsida; Arecales; Arecaceae
Description: long non-coding RNA (EGUI_LNC012994)
Source: RNAcentral
ACCUCCAAUGAUCAUUUAAACUGUUGGACUCAUUAUUAUCUAACUUAAUGAGAGGCUAUGAUCUAAUUAUCACUAUAACUAUUUUAUUUUUAGAGACCUAACAAUUUUAGAAGAUUUAAUUAGUUGAAUUGAGAGAUGAGAAAAGAUUUGACUAGUUAAUCUUAAUCCUCCCAUUGACUUCACCAAGUCAGAUUAAAGAAGACUAGAUAUAAGCUGAUCCAACCAACCAAUCAUAGAUCCUCCUACUGACUUCACCA